UAUUGGACAAUGGGCGAAAGCCUGAUCCAGCAAUGCCGCGUGAGUGAUGAAGGCCUUCGGGUCGUAAAGCUCUUUUACCAGGGAUGAUAAUGACAGUACCUGGAGAAUAAGCUCCGGCUAACUCCGUGCCAGCAGCCGCGGUAAUACGGAGGGAGCUAGCGUUGUUCGGAAUUACUGGGCGUAAAGCGCACGUAGGCGGCUACUCAAGUCAGAGGUGAAAGCCCGGGGCUCAACCCCGGAACUGCCUUUGAAACUAGGUAGCUAGAAUCUUGGAGAGGUCAGUGGAAUUCCGGGUGUAGAGGUGAAAUUCGUAGAUAUUCGGAAGAACACCAGUGGCGAAGGCGACUGACUGACAAGUAUUGACGCUGAGGUGCGAAA
Molecule: ribosomal RNA, 378 nt
Filed under: uncultured bacterium
Lineage: Bacteria
Description: bacterial SSU rRNA
Rfam family: Bacterial small subunit ribosomal RNA
Source: RNAcentral